Molecule: ribosomal RNA, 309 nt
Filed under: Triticum aestivum (bread wheat)
Lineage: Eukaryota; Viridiplantae; Streptophyta; Magnoliopsida; Poales; Poaceae
Description: partial small subunit ribosomal RNA
Source: RNAcentral
AUGCGGAUUAGCAAGAACUGGAAGAGAAGGGGCGUUAACGGAGAACACUUUCCAGAUCAGCAAUCCAACCCAAGAAAGAAGCGAGCCACACAGCGGAGCAGAGAGAGGGGAGGAAGACGGGCGUACGUACGGGGAGAGGUCAGGACGCGCGGCAGCAUCCACCCUUGCCUCCGGCUCCGGGCUUGUGCAAAGCCCGCAAUGCGACGCGCGUGUGUGGUGUCUGUGUGUCGGCGUGUGUGGCCGAGAGGGAUUUAUACGUCAGGGGAAGAGGAAGAAGGAGGAGGAGGAGGAGGAGGAGGAGGAAGAUGA